GCCAUGGUGGCAUAGCGGUAUAGUGGUUAGCACUGUCGCCUCACAGCAAGAAGGUCGUGGGUUCGAUUCCAGCCUGGGGCC
This is a non-coding RNA of Gymnothorax javanicus (giant moray), 81 nucleotides long. Lineage: Eukaryota; Metazoa; Chordata; Actinopteri; Anguilliformes; Muraenidae. The record is from the annotation of a GenBank genome assembly.